UGCAAGUGUAAAAUUCACUGC
Caenorhabditis elegans is the source of this 21-nucleotide non-coding RNA. The record is from Ensembl. Lineage: Eukaryota; Metazoa; Nematoda; Chromadorea; Rhabditida; Rhabditidae.